UUGCUUUAGGGUAUCACCUUCUCUAAUCUCAUUUAUUUUAAAAGAGUGAGGUUGACAGAGCAUGUUCGUUCUUUUUAGAUACAAUCUACUUGCUAAAGAGGCAAAGAAAGCACGCUGUCAUGCAAUGUUUACCCCAUGACAUUAUUUAAGAUGCAAAUUAUUCUUCCUUUGGUGCAAGUCCUUGUACUUGCUAAAAGGUACACCAUGAUAUCCCAUUUGGGUAAAAUGUCAAGCUUAUAAACUGACCUUUAAGAUUUGUAAGCUGCCUUAGUGCCGAACCCUGAGCAACCACAGUAGUGUUUGUUGUAGCCAAUAAAGGAUGUUGGAUAUCAUUUGAUGGUAUGAAGCACAGUCACAUGGCUAACUAGUUUCUUGGGCAGGCAAAAGUGAGAGAUUGAAAUUUUCAGAAUAAAAGCCAUAAAGAUCAUAAUAUUUUACCAGUGGGCAGGGUUUUUAGAUACAAUCUACUUGACAUGAAGAGGCAAAGAAAUAGCACGCUGUCAUGCAACUAGGUAUUCUGUAACUCUUAGCCUUUAGGGUCUUGAAAGAUUCAUAUGGCCAAAUAGACAAUUUUAUUGCAUUUUAUAAUACAAACGAGUUACCAAAAGAAGUUCAUUUCAUUGGAUUCCAGAUUCAAUUAAAUUAUCUUGCUUCCUGUGUCAGGAUAUACCCUUUUAAAACCCAUACUUUUAUGGAUUUCCCAUCUCCUACAGCAAAUCUUUCAUGGUUCACAGGCAGCUGGGGUUUUAUUUGCUUCCCUCACCUUAGUUUUAAACAAAACACUAAAGGUAGCAGCUGAGACUCCUGGUGCUCAAAGGCCCAGGCCAUUUUUCACAGGUAAGAUAAAUGUUGUUUGGAAGCAUUGUAACAUGCAGGUUUAAAAAAAGAUAGUUAAUUUAGAAAAUAAAUAAAUAAAUAAAUUAUCUGAGCAUACCAUACCUGCGCUGUUUCGUGGUCCCUCACUGCAACUAUUUCAAAGCUAAACCCAGAAGUCAGCCAGUGAACUUUGAUGGAUGUUUGCUAUACCAACAUUUUUCUUGUACAUCCAUUUAACAAAUAAGACUUUGUUAAAUGGAUCUAUCUUGCAGCAUAUGUAACAGCAUUAGCUUUCUCAAGAACAAUGGCCCUCUCGCUCAGCUGUCUAUCUUUUUGUCUGUAUCUCUGCACUCCUCUUAUUCUCUGGUCUUGGUCUUUGCUGCAGUAAAUGACAAGUGUUGUAAUUACAGUCAUAUUCUGUCUCUAUCUACCCUUUUAUAGAGGAGCUCUGACAGCUGGCAGGACUUUGACUCUCCCUCAGCGCCUAAUGCACAAAGCCUAUCAUUAAAACAGACUCUGGGGCAGGGACAAAGCUGGUGAGGGCGAAUGUCAUGCAACUCCUGACAUUAUAAUUUUGAAUUGGGCUUGAGGUAAUAUUUUAAUUACUAAACUAAAAUUUCUGCAAAGAAAGUUAGUGGAGUCAUAAUUUGUCUUGUCACCCAAGUGUUCUGGGGAUCUUUGCAAUAAUCCUUUUCAUCAACCAACCCAACCUUUUAUGGCAGCAAAAACAGGAAGGACGUAUUGUGUUGAUUGUCAUGUUGAAGAUAGUGAUACCAUCAAAACCACCACAACUACAAACUGAGUCUUGAUGGAAUUAUUUCAGUGUAAUGGCCAAGCGCAAGUAAGAUUUUCUACUCACUUAAUUCAUGUUAAUCUAGAUGCUGAAUGAAUUGUAUUUACUCACUUCAUUCACUUGUCAACAGUAAUUUAAACAGUAUUAUUUACCAGGUAAUCUGACCUUUUCACUCACUUGCCUCCAGGCGAGCUCCUUUUCAUUAUGGUUUUGGUAAUUGAAAGAAAAGGUAUCAUAUAAUUUGGGGCACCCACACACCAACACAAUCAGUUGUCCUCCAUUUUAGAUACCAUUGAACAACCAUCCGUUUUCAUACAUCACCAUUAGUUAUCAUCAUCAUUAGUUAUCGCGACGCACAUAUUCGCUUAAGUUGAGACAUUUUCAGCUUUCGCCCAAUUUACAUCUUUCACGCCGCCAGAGUAGUACGAGAAUCUGUGAAUCUGCGCUGAAUUUAUGUGGCAUGCUGCGGCGUCCGGAAAAAAGGGAAACCUGGAACCCCAUACCUUCAUCACAUUGAUGAAUGUAUGGGAAGAGGACCCAAACACAAAUGUUAAAAACCAGAGUAGAAAGAAGACAAGCAGACAAACCAGUUACAAGAAAUAAUGAGAAGGAAACUGACUUUCUUUUAAUCCAAUGACUUCUCCGUCGCCAUUGGGAGUGCCAUAGGAGAAAAGGCCCCAGAUGCAGGCAGUAGAGACCAGAAUAAUGCAUUAUAGCUUUCAGGAUGGCAUGCUAACAAGAUCCCAGACAUUUUCAUCUUUGAUUUGCAUACAGUACCUGACACCAUUUAAUUCAAACUGAUUUGGCGUCAUGUUCAGAUAACAAACACAAUUUAAAAAAUUGAAGACCGUGUGGAAAAUGAAUUAACUUACUCACGUGUAGGAGAAAUCAAAACAAAUGUUGACAGUUUCACAGGUAUGGGUAUUGAUUGACAUAUAAUUUCCAUCUGGAUUGAAUAAGACAAAAAAAAAAUCACAAUGUCAGGUUGAAUGAUAAAACUCCUGAUGUAAAAGAGGCGCUUACUCUAAUCAAAUUACCCGAGAUGAAUAAUCUACAUGCCAUUUCAAAUUUCCAACAAUCUUGAUGUCCUUCACUAAAGGACUGAAGUCAGACUGGUUGAAUCAUCCCCCAUUAUUUCAAUGUCCUUUCAUCAUUGACAUGAUGAUUCAUCAGUAUCUGCCCCAAAAACAAAACUGUCUCACCACCACAGAAAUCUCGUUUUUUACUGCUUUCAUUUACAAAUGAAACUAUUUCUAUUUUCUAUUUUUAUUUAUCUAUUUUUUAAAAAUGGGAACAGUACAUAUUGAUGAACAUUUACAUGUAAAUAUGUGGGAUUACAGCCAAAUGGCUAAUUUCCAUCCCCAGUCCCA
RNAcentral lists this long non-coding RNA (2979 nucleotides) under Xyrichtys novacula (pearly razorfish). Lineage: Eukaryota; Metazoa; Chordata; Actinopteri; Labriformes; Labridae. The record is from RNAcentral.